GAGGCAUAGCUCAGCUGGUCAGAGCGCCUGCUUCACACGCAGGAGGUCACAGGUUCGAGCCCCGUUGUCUCC
This 72-nucleotide transfer RNA is filed under the name human gut metagenome. It matches the Rfam family "tRNA". From Rfam's summary of the family: Transfer RNA (tRNA) molecules are approximately 80 nucleotides in length. Their secondary structure includes four short double-helical elements and three loops (D, anti-codon, and T loops). Further hydrogen bonds mediate the characteristic L-shaped molecular structure. tRNAs have two regions of fundamental functional importance: the anti-codon, which is responsible for specific mRNA codon recognition, and the 3' end, to which the tRNAs corresponding amino acid is attached (by aminoacyl-tRNA synthetases). tRNAs cope with the degeneracy of the genetic code in two manners: having more than one tRNA (with a specific anti-codon) for a particular amino acid; and 'wobble' base-pairing, i.e. permitting non-standard base-pairing at the 3rd anti-codon position. The record is from RNAcentral. RNAcentral also lists the same sequence under 1 other name.